AGUAAUGAUGAGAUCUAUGAUGCAUGUUGGCAAGAAAGGAGAGCAAUUUCUUAGCUCAGCAGGACCUGAUUAUACCAUUGACCAGUGAAUAUCAAAGUGCAACAAGUAAGUUGGAGAAUUCAAGAAUUUGGUCACUUUGGAAUCAGAAGUUUUUUCAGAGAAUGGUAAUAGAAGUGUCAUUUUUCUUCAUCUAUUCUUCGAUUCUUGUGUUUAUAUUUUCAAUUCUCCAUAAUAUAUACAUUCUAAAAAAUUUUUCUUAGAAUACACAACUUGCCAUCUUAGGGAACAAACUAGCAAAUUUGUCUUCCCACAUCAAUACUUUCUUCCUCAAACUCGCAGAUUUUGAUUUUCUGUCAAACUUACUUCAACAUUAAAAGUCUUUUGAUGAUUGUUGUUGUUAUCUUUGAAAUAGAAGAAAUUCUGACCAAAGCUUUGAGCUUCAUAUCACAGUUAAACUCAAAUAGGCCUUAAUCCCAAUCUGAUUGAGGUUGCCUAUAUUAAUUUUUUUUGUUCUCAGUUCAACCUGAAACCUUCUAAUUGAUGCAUGACAUGUGCAGUAAAGUAGGUCAAUUAUUGUUUUACAAAUCCCUUUUUGUUAACCCUGUUAGCAGGUUCUGAUUUGUACUAUUAUAUAUACUUUCCUUUGUGCAUUUUGGAAGAGAAUGAAGCUUGGAAGAAUCAUUGGAAUUGCUCCAUGUGUCCUAAAGUGUAAUACCAGGCAAAACCUAAGGACCAAAUUGUAAAUUUCCCGUCUUAAAAUGAUGGUGCAACACACAGAUACACGAGACCUAUUCUUUGCUCUUGCUACAAGAAUUUACCAUUAUUAAUAAAAUUGCAGCAUAUGAAUCAAUUACAGUCCCACAAAGCCUUUUCUUUUCCUAAUCCAACCCCUCUCUAUUUCUCAUUCACUAAUGGCAAAACAUCUAAAGAUAAAUUAUUUCAAACAAAUGAAUGUAACUAUGUGAAUGAGAAAAUGAUAUUGAGAGAAGAAAGUGGCAUCCAAAUUCAUAGUGAAUGCUACUGAAGGAAGUGAUGGUGGUGUUAGCUACCACUGCCAAACUCCUUCUGGAUGUCCUUGAAAGAUAUGGUAGCAGAUCCCCUUCUUUUGGCCUUCUGCUGUGAAGGAUGUUCCCUCCAACCUGUCAUGUAAAUGACCUACACAGAAAAGGCCAGUACAAAAGAUAAUUGCCAUGCAUCAUGUAAUGCUUCAGUAAGCCAAACUUAAUUGCUUUUAGUCUCAGAAGGACCAAAAAUUAGAUAACCCUUCAUUUUUCUACAGUAGGAUAACACAAUAGAUACAUGAGCUUGUAGAAAGAGACAUCAAUCAGUCAAAUAUCAUUUCCCUUUUUAGGUAUGGUCUCAAAGUGACAAAUAUCAUAAUUUCAUUUAGCAAUGGCAAUCUCAUAGAAUUUGUUUGAUCAUAAUACCACGCUAAUUAUUACACAUAAAUGUCUAAAGUUGCGUGAAGCGUGUUCAUUAUUGCACUAGCAUCAGAAGAUAGUGGAUGAAUAUUUUACUUUUCCUACCAAAUAAAUAUUCCCAAGUAUUCCACAACGCACACCUGGAAUGUUGCAGGGAUGGUGCCAUCUUCUGCUGCAAACAUUGAAUCAUAGAUUGCAGCAGUCGCUAGGGCUGUUUCUCGCUUUAGGAUAGUGUUCCUUUGCAAAAGAGCAUUAGUUUCACCCAUUGCACGCAGAUGCUCUAUCAGCUCCAGAGCACUUCUAUACCUAACUACAUAUUCAUCAACAUCAACACCAGGAAGGGCAAAGCCUGCCCUGGUUAAAAGAUUGCCUGCAUCACGGACUUGUGCCAAAGGUGAUACUCGAGGACUGAUGCCUCCUUCACGCUCCAUUUGAGCUACAGUGCAUGCUAUUCUCAGCUCCUUCAAGGUUUCUCCACCAAGAAUAGCUCCUAAAAAUAGACCAUCAGGUUUCAGCGCCAAUCUGCACUGUAUCAUGGCUCCAGGAAGGUCAUUUGUCCAGUGAAGUCCCAAGCAACUGAUUACCAAAUCUAAUGAACUUUCUUUUAUGGGCAGAAACUCUUCAUCACCGACAAUAAAGGAUGUUUCAAUAUUUUUAUUUGCAUCUUCCUUUGCAUCUUCACACAAUUUAAUCAUGUCAUAGGAAAUGUCCAUCAUAAUGAGCUUUUCAAUGGAGCCACGGCCACAUAACAACCGUUUGAUAGCUUCCAAAGAACCCCCCAUAAAUAAUGCUGUAGGAAAAGUUCUCUUACAGUCCUCUAAUCGAUCCAGUAGAUUAUCAGCAACGGCAUCCACAAAAGAAUCAUUAGGGCGCAUCAACCAUGCAGCUCGGUCUCGCUGGCCCCAAAAAUACACCCAAUUAGACCAAUACUAAAAACAAUAAGAAUGCAUAAUUUUGUAUUAAAAAAAUUGAUUACAAGAAGAUGAAAACCAAAAUAAAAAUUGUACUGUUUUUUUUUUCUGCAUUAUCAUAGUGUCCAAAACUGAAAAAUAAAGCUCCUUAAUUUGCUGAGAUACUAAAAUGUAACUAAAAAAGGUUAAUUACAGCUAAAAUUCCAACAAAUUCAGCACCAAGAAAUUAGAAGCAGAAAGCAUUUCAACUAUGUACUUUCCGUGCUGCCAUACAAGAUUAAGAAAAACAUCCAUUCUAUCUUCUUUCCACUUGUGCAGAAAUGUUCCCAUUGUUCAAAUUGAAAAACAAGGUGGAAUUUACCUGUUUGCGUUUGAGGUGGCGAUCGAAGAUCUUAACCCUAGAAUUUUGCAACCCAUCAUUGCUGCUAUUGUUAUCUGUGCAAUAGGAACUGGAAGAGACAAAAGCAUAUGCUCUUCUUAAAAAAACUAAAGAACUCUUUCGACACAGAGACAAGCCUUUCAUUUUCUCUUCCUUUAAGCCUAACAAUUAGAAACAAAUGCCCCCUUUCAAGUCUUCCUUGUUUCCGCUGGAUUAUUCUUAUGCUGCCAUUGAAUACAAACAGAAUCAAAUCAAAUCAAAUCAAAUCAAAUCAAUCAAGCUUAAAGAGACUAAGCUAAAGGCUACAUGAAUCAUUCUCUUGGCUAGCUGAAACUUCAAGUUGAAAAGAGUAAACUCAUAAUUCCUUUCCUGUUUUUCAAAAUUUUCCCAGAAACCAAACACUGCGGCAAGCUUCAAAAUAAAAAUUAAAAAUGCAUAUUUUUGAAAAGGUACCUCCCUCAAGAAAAGAAUCACUCAUCAGGCUAGAGAAGAAGAAAGCAAAGGGGGAUUAUUCUUAUGAUGAAUCAU
Molecule: unclassified non-coding RNA, 3239 nt
Filed under: Hevea brasiliensis (rubber tree)
Lineage: Eukaryota; Viridiplantae; Streptophyta; Magnoliopsida; Malpighiales; Euphorbiaceae
Source: RNAcentral